RNAcentral lists this long non-coding RNA (1059 nucleotides) under Felis catus (domestic cat). Its description in RNAcentral is "lncRNA (ENSFCAG00000049706.1)". The record is from RNAcentral. Lineage: Eukaryota; Metazoa; Chordata; Mammalia; Carnivora; Felidae.
AUGGUCAGGAUAAUAAACAGCCAUAACCCCCCAAACAUUGCUGAUGCCCCUCUCCUAGCUUCCACAGCAGUUGCUGAUCCGCCGUCACUUUGGAUGAGUUUUGCUUCUCUAGGAUUUUAUAUCAACAACAUAUUGUAUGUACUCUUACUUUUGGCCUGGUGUCUUUCACUCAGCAUCAUUAUUUUGAGAGUCACCCAUGUUGCAUAUGCAUUGUAUCAGUGGUUAUUUUCUUUCUUUCUUCUUUCUUCUUUCUUUCUUUCUUUCUUUCUUCUUCUUUCUUCUUUCUUCUUUCUUUUCUCUCUCUCUCUCUCUCUCUCUCUCUCUCUCUCUCUCUCUCUCUCUCUCUCUCUCUCUCUCUCUCUCUCUCUCUCUCUCUCUCCUUCCUUCCUUCCUUCCUUCCUUCCUUCCUUCCUUCCUUCUUUCUUUCUUCUUUCUUUCUUCUUUCUUCUUUCUUCUUUCUUUCUUUCUUCUUUCUUUCUUUCUUUCUUUUCUUUUUCUUUCUUUCUUUUCUUUCUUUCUUCUUUCUUUCUUUCUUUCUUUCUUUCUUUCUUUCUUUCUUUCUUCUUUCUUUCUUUUCUUUCUUUCUUUUCUUUUUCUUUCUUUCUUCUUUCUUUCUUUUCUUUCUUUCUUCUUUCUUUCUUUCUUUUCUUUCUUUCUUCUUUCUUUCUUUCUUUCUUUCUUUCUUUCUUUUCUUUUUCUUUUUCUUUCUUUCUUUCUUUCUUUCUUUCUUUCUUUUCUUUCUUUCUUUUCUUUUUCUUUCUUUCUUUCUUUCUUUCUUUCUUCUUUCUUUCUUUUCUUUUUCUUUUUCUUUCUUUCUUUCUUUCUUUUCUUUUCUCUCUCUCUCUCUCUCUCUCUCUCUCUCUCUCUCUCUCCUUCCUUCCUUCCUCCCUCCCUCCCUCCCUCCCUCCCUCCCUCCCUCCCUCCCUCCUUUCUUUCUUUCUUUCUUUCUUUCUUUCUUUCUUUCUUUCUUUCUUCUUUCUUCUUUCUUCUUUCUUUCUUUCUUUCUUUCUUUCUUUCUUUCUUUCUUUUUUACAUUUAUUUAUUUUGAGAGAGAUAUGA